GCCUACCAUCUGGAGAACAAAUUGCUGCAACUCCCAGAGGAGAUCCAUUGAGAUUGAAAGGGUAAACUUCAGUUGGAUUCCCAUCAUCAUCACAAUAUCUUACCGGAGCCAAGUUAGAGUGGAGAAGACGGUCGAGAACACCAUCAUCAGGGAAGUAUGCUCUCCCCUCACCAUGGGCAGACCACACACCCAAAGUACUGCCUUCCAUUCCCUUAAGCAUUAUAGCUGGAGAAUCCUUUAUGGUCACACUUGUGAAACGACACUCAA
This 267-nucleotide unclassified non-coding RNA is filed under the name Hevea brasiliensis (rubber tree). The record is from RNAcentral. Lineage: Eukaryota; Viridiplantae; Streptophyta; Magnoliopsida; Malpighiales; Euphorbiaceae.